CACUGAUCGAGUCGUCCUGCGCGGAAGAUGUAACGGGGCUAAGCCAGUCACCGAAGCUGCGGAUAUGUCUUUGACAUAUGGUAGGAGAGCGUUCUGUAAGCCUGCGAAGGUGUCUUGUAAAGGAUGCUGGAGGUAUCAGAAGUGCGAAUGCUGACGUGAGUAACGACAAUGCGAGUGAAAAGCUCGCACGCCGGAAGACCAAGGGUUCCAGUCCAACGUUAAUCGGGGCUGGGUGAGUCGACCCCUAAGGCGAGGCCGAAAGGCGUAGUCGAUGGGAAAUCGGUUAAUAUUCCGAUACUUGUUUAUGAUGCGAUGGAGGGACGGAGAAGGUUAUGCCAGCUUGGCGAUGGUUGUCCAAGUGGAAGGAUGUAGUUAGGUUUAGUAGGCAAAUCCGCUAGACUAUUAAUGAGAUCUGAUAGCAAGCUGUACUUGUACAGCGAAGUGGCAAAUACCCUGCUUCCAGGAAAAGCUUCUAAGCGAUAGUCAUAAAGAAAUCGUACCCUAAACCGACACAGGU
Molecule: ribosomal RNA, 517 nt
Filed under: Ditylum brightwellii
Lineage: Eukaryota; Bacillariophyta; Thalassiosirophyceae; Lithodesmiales; Lithodesmiaceae
Description: partial Bacterial large subunit ribosomal RNA
Rfam family: Bacterial large subunit ribosomal RNA
Source: RNAcentral